UAUUGGGUGGUCUAGAACCCGUUUGGUGUCCCCAGACACCAUUGGGGGGGUGUGACAAUGUUGGGUGGUCUAGAACCCGUUGGGUGAUGCAGGACACCCUAGGGGGUGUGUGACAACGUUGGGUGGUCUAGAACCCGUUGGGUGUCCCCAGACACCAUCGGGGGGGUGUGACAACGUUGGGUGGUCUAGAACCUGCUGGGGGACCCAUGACACCAUUGGGAGGAGGUGGUCCCAUUGGGUGGUCUAGAACCUGUUGGGUGUCCCCAGACACCACUGGGGUGUGUGUGACAACGUUGGGUGGUCUAGAACCCGUUGGGUGUCCCCAGACACCAUUGGGGGUGUGUGACAAUGUUGGGUGGUCUAGAACCCAUUGGGUGCCCCUGGACACCAUUGGGGGGGUGUGACGUUGGGUGGUCUAGAACCCGUUGGGUGUCCAGGACACCAUCGGGGCGGGUAGGUGAUAUUGGGUGAUCUAGAACCUGCUGAGGGACCCAGGACACUGUCUGGGCGGGGCCUCACUGGGUGAUCUAGAACCUGGUGACUCAGGAUACCAUGGAGACAGGAGGGACCCUAUUGGGUGAUCUAGAACCCUUUGGGUGUCCCCACAGGUGCACCGAGGGGCCCAGGCGUCCGGGACGGAGGCAGGCAUCCAGGCCGGGGGUGGGCAGAAGGGCCCAGGCGUCCGGGUUUAUUGCCCUGCCACCCCAAAGGGGCCCAGGUGUCCGGGGUGGUGGCGCUCAGAGGGGCCCAGGCGUCCGGGACGGAGGGGCCCAGGCGUCUGGGCUAGUGUCGCUCAGAGGGGCCCAGGUGUCUGGGGCAGAGGGGCCCAGGCGUCCGGGCCGGUGUCACUUGGAGGGGCCCAGGCAUCUGGGUCGAAGGUGCUCAGAGGGGCCCAGGCGUCCGGGAUGGUGUCGCUCAGAGGGGCCCAGGUGUCCGGGGCAGAGGGGCCCAGG
Apteryx owenii (little spotted kiwi) is the source of this 953-nucleotide long non-coding RNA. Lineage: Eukaryota; Metazoa; Chordata; Aves; Apterygiformes; Apterygidae. The record is from Ensembl.